This is a long non-coding RNA of Pan troglodytes (chimpanzee), 1620 nucleotides long. RefSeq lists it as uncharacterized. The record is from RefSeq and is a predicted model, not a curated record. The transcript has 3 exons. NCBI's taxonomy places the organism in Eukaryota, Metazoa, Chordata, Mammalia, Primates, Hominidae.
AACCAAAGCUGCGUGUCAGUGAGCCGUGCCGGUCACAUGGUGUCACUGCUGGUGGCCGCGCCUUGCUGCCUCCCUCUUGCAGCUCUCUGACGAUGCAGCGACCGCGGCUGGCGGAGAUUGAGCAACGGGGAAAGGUGGACAUCCAAAGGUGAUACAGCUGGAAAAAGGAUCUUCAUCCAAGACAAAGAGAAACAAAGUCGAUAGGAAAGUGAUGAAAGGCAUCAAGCAAAGUGAGGAUGCAAAUGAGAAAACAAGAUCAGAAGACAGGAAUAUCUGAAACAAGUCACAAAUGCAUAGUAUGACCUCUCAGAAUCGUCUGGAUAAGUGUCAGCAUUCUCCAAGUCACUUUCUUGGUAUGAAAUGAACAUUUGUGGCCAGGUGCAGUGGCUCACACCUGUAAUCCCACCACUUCAGGAGGCCGAGGUGGGCAGAUCAUGAGGUCAAGAGAUCGAGACCAUCCUGGCCAACAUGGUGAAACCCCGUCUCUGCUAAAAAUGCAAAAAUUAGCCAGGCGUGGUGACAUGUGCCUGUAAUCCCAGCUACUUGGGAGGCUGAGGCAGGAGAAUCGCUUGAGCCUGGGAGGCAGAGGUUGCAGUGUGCCGAGAUCGCACCACUGCACUGCAGCCUGGUGACAGAACGGGACUCCGUCUCAAAAAAAAAAGAAAUGAACAUUUGUAAAUGGAGUCUAAUUAAAUUUUGUACUUUAAAAGAAAAGUUACAAGUUAAUUUGUUCUGUUGUUUCUCCUUGCUAUUUUUAUAACAAUUAGUAUUUAGGAAUAACACUGUGGUUCAGAUAUGAACUAUUUCACAAAAUCAACUUAAUAAUGAAGUCAACAAUUAUUUCUCUUUAUUCAAUCUUGUCACUUAGCUCAAAAAAGAACUGCACUGCUCUUUCCUUUUCAGUGAUGAAAAGGAACAGAAUGCUAGAAAACCAUCUUACAGCUUGGCAUUUUUUCAUUUGUUUAUUUAUUCAUUUAUUCAAUGAAUGUAUUCCAAGCUAAUUCCUUUUGCAACAUUCUUUAUCUGAUUCAUGUCUCCUCUGAAAACUUCCUCCUUCUAUUUAUUUUUUGCUUUUAUAUGUUCAUCCUCAUUUCUAUUGACUGUAAAGUAGUCAAACCUCUCAUUAAAAAGGAAAGAAAGAAAUGGGGAGAAGAGAGGAAAGGGGAGACAAGAAAAGAAAGAGAGGAAAUAUCCCUUGAUUUUACAUUUUUCUCUAUGGCUCUUAUAUUUCUUCUAUUUAAGAGCCAAGAUUUUCCAAAGAAUAGUUAAUAAUAUAAGUUUCAAAACUUUUAUUUCCCAUUCACUCUUUAAGUACCCACACCAACUCGCAAAAUUAAUUUAUUCUCACUGUAGAAAACUUGGAAAAUGCAGCAAAAUGUAAAAAAGAAAAUCAAAACCAUCUAUAAAUUUAUAUACCACAGUUACCAUUGUUGAUUUUUAGUUCAUUUUGUUUAUAUGCAUGUCUUUUUUACAUUCAGAAUCAUGUCCAAUUUCAUAUUUGUAUAUGACAUUAAAUUAUGAUCAUUUUAUUAUAUCAUUAAAAUUUUUCAAAAACAUAAAUUUUAAUAACUACAAAAUAUUCUACCAUAUAGUUUUACAAUAAUUAUUAAUUUCAGAUUU